CGCGUAGGCGGUGCGGUAAGUCACCUGUGAAACCUCUGGGCUUAACUCAGAGCCUGCAGGCGAAACUGCCGUGCUAGAGUGUGAGAGAGGCGAGUGGAAUUACGGGUGUAGCGGUGAAAUGCGUAGAUAUCCGUAGGAACAUCCGAGGCGAAAGCGGCUCGCUGGAUCACAACUGACGCUGAGGGACGAAAGCUAGGGGAGCAAACA
RNAcentral lists this ribosomal RNA (207 nucleotides) under uncultured bacterium. RNAcentral's name for it is "partial 16S ribosomal RNA". It matches the Rfam family "Bacterial small subunit ribosomal RNA", at positions 568 to 774 of the family's 1533-position model. The record is from RNAcentral.